UACGGGGGGUGCAAGCGUUAUUCGGAUUCAUUGGGCGUAAAGAGCGCGUAGGCUGUCUUUUAUGUCAGGUGUGAAAGCCCGAGGCUUAACCUCGGAAGUGCACUUGAAACUGAAAGACUUGAGUAUGGGAGAGGGAAGUGGAAUUCCUGGUGUAGCGGUGAAAUGCGUAGAUAUCAGGAGGAACACCGGUGGCGAAGGCGACUUCCUGGACCAAUACUGACGCUGAGGCGCGAAGGCGUGGGGAGCAAACAGGAUUAGAUACCCGCGUA
This 269-nucleotide ribosomal RNA is filed under the name uncultured prokaryote. RNAcentral's name for it is "partial 16S ribosomal RNA". It matches the Rfam family "Bacterial small subunit ribosomal RNA", at positions 524 to 792 of the family's 1533-position model. The record is from RNAcentral.